ACUACCCUGAGUGGGGAAUAACUUCGGGAAACCGAGGCUAAUACCGCAUAAUACCCACGGGUCAAAGGAGCAAUUCGCUUGAGGAGGGGGUCGCGGCCGAUUAGUUAGUUGGCGGGGUAAUGGCCCCACCAAGACGGUGAUCGGUAUCCGGCCUGAGAGGGCGCACGGACACACUGGAACUGAAACACGGUCCAGACUCCUACGGGAGGCAGCAGUGGGGAAUUUUGCGCAAUGGGGGAAACCCUGACGCAGCAACGCCGCGUGGAGGAUGAAGUCUCUUGGGACGUAAACUCCUUUCGAUCGGGACGAUUAUGACGGUACCGGAAGAAGAAGCCCCGGCUAACUUCGUG
RNAcentral lists this ribosomal RNA (350 nucleotides) under uncultured bacterium. Its description in RNAcentral is "bacterial SSU rRNA". It matches the Rfam family "Bacterial small subunit ribosomal RNA", at positions 124 to 507 of the family's 1533-position model. The record is from RNAcentral.